Molecule: ribosomal RNA, 253 nt
Filed under: uncultured bacterium
Lineage: Bacteria
Description: partial 16S ribosomal RNA
Rfam family: Bacterial small subunit ribosomal RNA
Source: RNAcentral
UACGGAGGGUGCAAGCGUUAUCCGGAUUUACUGGGUUUAAAGCGUGUGUAGGCGGAUUUGUAAGUACCUUGUGAAAUCCCACGGCUCAACCGUGGAACUGCUCGGUAUACUGCUUAUCUUGAGCCACUUAGGGGCUACCGGAACAAAUGGUGGAGCGGUGAAAUGCGUAGAUAUCAUUUGGAACGCCAAUGGUGAAAACAGGUAGCUGGGAGUGUGCUGACGCUGAGACACGAAAGCCAGGGGAGCGAACGGG